Molecule: long non-coding RNA, 1881 nt
Filed under: Ananas comosus (pineapple)
Lineage: Eukaryota; Viridiplantae; Streptophyta; Magnoliopsida; Poales; Bromeliaceae
Description: long non-coding RNA (ACOM_LNC011406)
Source: RNAcentral
UAUUGAAUGACAGAUAUUUUUCUAUAAAGUUUAUUCUUUUAUUUUUAUCCUUAUAAAAAUUAUAAUAUUUUCAAAUAUAGUAAGAUCCGUUAGAAAAAAUAUAGUUAAUCAUAAGUAAAAAUAUUUAAUUCUGAUUAGUGAAUUAGUUAAAUUGACCUUUUUACUUCUAUUAUGUUAUCGGGUAAAAUAUUUUUUGAGAGGAUAUUUCUGUAUAAUUCUAACAGCUCAGGCUUUUGAAGAGAUAUAUUUGUAUGUGCAAAAAUAUCAUUUUACUUAUCUAUCGUUAAAAAAUAAACCGCGCUCGAACGGUAACAAACAAGAUGAGCAAAUAUGAAUAUCACCGGAAUUUUAUGGAGAUAAAAAUAAAAGUUAAACUUUGUAGGAAUAUAUUUGUUAUUCGAUAUGUUUAAGGAAAGCUUUAUAUAAUUAACUCUAAAUAUAAUUUUACCUUUUCUGAGAAGUCUAAGAUCUUAGUGGAACAUAAAAUUGAAGAAAGUGCUUCCCUAAAAAGAGAAUGUAUUCAGAAGGUAAUUAAUUUGUUAAACAGUGCUUUUGAAACGAGAGGAGUACUACACUUAAAUGAAUGGGACCAUCAUAUUUUAUGGUUAGUUAAGUAGAUGAUUUGAAAUAAUUAUUAAAGCUUUUUGUGUUAUUAUUAGUGUAAAUUUUAAAUAUCACUUCUGUAAUUUCACACUUUCUCACUUUAGCAUCUUGUGAUUUAAAAUGUAUCAAAUUAGUGUCCUGUAGUUUCAUUUUUAUUUUUUCGUCAACUUUUUCGUUAAUAUUUCGUCAAAUUAUAUACAAAAAACUUUAAAUACCUUACCUAAAUUUAUCGAAUAUUUACUUUAAUACCCUUUAGUUUUAACUUUGUCACUAAUUUAAUAAAAAAAUAGUGAAAUUGAUAAUAAAAAAUAAAUAAAUAAUCACAGGGCACUAAAUUGAUACACUUUAAAUCACAUAACACUAAAAUGAGAAAGUGUGAAACCAGAUCGGUGGUGUUUAAAAUCUUUUCUUAUUAUUAUAGCCCUUAUUUCAUUUUCUUUUGUGUUCUAGAACAAGCAAGUUUUAAAAAAAGAAAACGUAGCGUGAUAUCACUUAUGAGAGUGGUUAGGGUAGUUGUAUCCGUUUCCACAAGUAGCCUAAUAGAUGAAUUAGCGAGUCUUAUUGCAUACGUUUUAUUAAGGUUUUGUUUAGAAUUGUGGGGAGAUUGCAUUACGUGCGGUGGAAAAUUAUAAUAGAAAAAUAUAUUGUUUGUUUCCGCAUGUAAUAUUACGUUCGGCAUAUUGCGAUAAGUCUAUUAUAAUAUAUUUUCUACCGUCCCAUCGGAGAACGCAGAAGCAUAUAUCUAUAUGUUUUUUUUCUAACUCCAUUUUAUCUAAUAGCGAUAUAUCUAAAUAUCAAACUAAGACCCCGUUUGGUAUUGCGGUUGGAAGCCCAAAACUCCUUUUUUAAAGUGCUUGGGCUAAGUACCCCGUUUGGUAUUCCAAAUAAUAUCCCACCUUAUCCAACCGCUACCGCAAAUAUACCCCUAAAAUAUGGUACGUACGAAGCAUCCCGCUCGAUGCUUUCUCCAGAUUAGAGUUUGGGAUUUGUGCGUUCUGCACAAAUAAAAUAAUUGAUAGACCAAAUUAUUCCUAAAUUUAAUCAAUCCCAACAUAGAUAAUCUAAAAUGUAAUAUGUACUAUAUACUAUAUAUAAAGACACGUGUGUGGACAGAUCUUUUUCAAAUUAUAAAAUAUAAGGAUAAGAAUAGAAACUGUUGAAAAUGAAUACGUAACGAUAAGAAUAGAAACCAUUGGAAUGUAUUCGAAUACAUAAUACAAUAUGUAACAAACAAAUUUAAUUUAAUUUUUUCUCUAAGAAAUAAAUAAUGAGAGGAAA